Molecule: non-coding RNA, 77 nt
Organism: Podarcis lilfordi (Lilford's wall lizard)
Lineage: Eukaryota; Metazoa; Chordata; Lepidosauria; Squamata; Lacertidae
Source: the annotation of a GenBank genome assembly
GGGGUUCAGAAUAAAAUCAUGGUUAGAGCAUGGUGCUGACAACGCCAAGGUUGCAGGUUUGAUCCCUGUAAGGGAUA